Molecule: long non-coding RNA, 912 nt
Organism: Tigriopus californicus
Lineage: Eukaryota; Metazoa; Arthropoda; Copepoda; Harpacticoida; Harpacticidae
Exons: 2
Source: RefSeq, a predicted model, not a curated record
UAUUGUAAAGUGACGAAAUGUGUUUAUUAUCAGCUCCUUUGUAAGGCUAACAACCAGAAAAUCAUUUUUGCAUCAUCUUGAAGCAGAAAGUUGCAAAGCAAUAAAUUGAUGAUGAAUUCAGUUUUCUGCCGAGACUCAGCACCACAGAUGUGAUAAGUUCAUUGUGUUGAUACAUUUCAAACACCCCUUCCUUAUUCAAUGAGAAAGUAAUUCAGGCAUUUUACAUUCCAUAACUACAAUUGAAAUCGGUUUGGAGUACUGUUUUAGUGACUUUUGGAGCACUACAUGUAAUCCAAUACCUUUUUCCAAUCUGCCAAAAGUAACUUGACUACCGGUUGUUGCCGGAAGAUUUAUGGCUGUGGCUUUUAUAACUGAUGCUCUUAGAAGAUAUGGACAAUACCUUGAGUAGGACCAGAUUCUAUCGAAAAUGGGAGCAAUUUUCCAGAGCGUUUUUUGACGUCUUGGAAGUUUUACAACGGAUCCCUCUUAACCCACCAAGGAAAGAUCCAACACCCUUCUUGAGCCUCUGCUGAGGCCAGCAAGGAAAACCGACCCAAUCUCAAUUUGUCUCACACAUCAUCCUGGUCAAUGCGAUCAAUGCAGGCCAUGGCCAUUUUUGGGGUGGGAAUUCCCCUCAAGUUUUACAACCUUUUUCUCUCUCCCUGUGCUUCGGGUGCGAGUGAGCCCCUAAAUUGAUACUUCCAAAACCAACCAACCAGCACUAACCAUAUGGAGAGAAAAAAGACAGACCAUAGACCAAGGAGAUGCCCAAGAACCAACCAAUCAUCCGAGGUGAUCCAAAUCUGUGUCGGUAAAAAGUUUCCCAUUGUAAACCCGGACAACAACUGUCGCCAAUCAAGCCGGGCUUUGACGUUUCUAUUUUGAAUUACACACUCGCGACGAACACCAUGA